GAUGAACGCUGGCGGCGUGCCUAAUACAUGCAAGUCGAACGCUGGAGAUCUAGCUUGCUAGAUCGAAGGAGUGGCGAACGGGUGAGUAAUACAUAAGCAACCUACCUACGAAGACUGGGUUAAUCUCUGGAAACGGGGACUAAUACCGGAUAGGUAAUCGGAAGGCAUCUUCUGGUUAUUAAAGGUUAAAAACACUGGUGGAUGGGCUUAUGGCGCAUUAGUUAGUUGGUGAGGUAACGGCCCACCAAGACGAUGAUGCGUAGCCGGCCUGAGAGGGUGAACGGCCACAUUGGGACUGGGACACGGCCCAGACUCCUACGGGAGGCAGCAGUAGGGAAUUGUCGGCAAUGGGGGCAACCCUGACCGAGCAACGCCGCGUGAGUGAAGACGGCCUUCGGGUUGUAAAGCUCUGUUGUAAGGGAAGAACGGUAGAUAGAGAAUAUCUAAGUGGCGGUACCUUACCAGAAAGCCACGGCUAACUACGUG
RNAcentral lists this ribosomal RNA (486 nucleotides) under uncultured bacterium. RNAcentral describes it as "partial 16S ribosomal RNA". It matches the Rfam family "Bacterial small subunit ribosomal RNA", at positions 28 to 507 of the family's 1533-position model. The record is from RNAcentral.